UGGGUCGAAACCGGAUAUCACGUGGGGUCAGCGAGGUACUCCGUGCCCUUAGAUAGGCGUGAAAGUAGCUAGGGAAUGAUUCCUCGGCCAUGCCUGCCAUGUUCCCAGUCCCUGCGUGCCUAGAAGCAUCCGCUGGCCCAACACAAGCAUGCAAGUUGCGCGGGAGCGGCCGCAUACAAGACGCCGCCGCCAAGAAUUCGCGGUGAGAACGUCGUCGACCGCAUUACCGCCAACCCACGAAGGACUGCGACCUCAAGGUACGUCUGCCGAAACUGCAACUUGUGACAUAAAGCGGCGAUGCAUUUUCAUUUUUUUUUUUUUAAUUUUAGGCCUUGCUCCUUCAGCUGUAGCGCGACGUAAGCCCUGCCAUUUCACUUUCAAGAUACGUAAGCUGCUUCGACCCUGAUAAUGUCGACGCAAUGGUGCAUCUGAACAGCCAAUGGAUACCAUGCCCACUCUGUAACGACCAGUGCUUUUAAUGAAACAGCACAGCAGAAUAAAGUCAACCACGUGAGGCACCUCAGACAGCAUAUGCAGUGGGUUGCGACGGAUUUAAUGAUUUCAUCAGCAUUUUCACUGGAUGCAAGGCUGUGAAUCUCCUGUACGAUGCAUGUGUGGAAAUGAAACCCAACAGUCUGGCAUAUCCCAUUAGUUGGGUGCCCCCGUGUCGGCAUUUGCUGAUGUGAUCCCAGCUAUCUUCACCCAUUACAUUCUGAUGAAUUUACUGCAGCCACCCUUUAGAAAAAUACCACAUGGCAGUUAUUUCAAGGUAAUUAGUUCUCCCAUACAGAAAAAAUACCAUUAGCAGUACUCGUGGGCGAUAAUCUGCCACUCUGCAAUGGUGGCGAGCAUAAAUCCCACUAGCUGUAGUAACACCAGUUUUGAAAUUAGCAACUUGCUUGCAGCUCGACGUCAUGUGUACUAUGUUUUGUGCAAUGUCAGUGUUCAGAAUAAAAGCAUUUGACCACUGCAAACUGUCGUUUUUCUUCUUCUAGACGUGCAUAUGAUAUAAAAAACAUGCAGGGCUGUAUUACAGCACAGAAAAAGUUUGGACAAUUCAAGCUCAUUAAUUCAGAAUGCAAGUUCGAAAAUUCUAAGGAAUCAAAUCAUUGUUUUCAGUUCACUGAAGUAGACAAAGUGCACUUCAGCCACCAAAUGCAAUUGACAAGGUUGAGAACAUUUAUGAGUUAUGACUGCACUGCAGUUAACUUUUUUACAAACGAAGUAGGCCCACCAUUGAUCCAAAUGCUUACGUGAGUGUGGAAACUCCGCGAUAGACAACAGACAAAACGGUAGGAGGGCUAAGCGUCAGUUGACGAUACGUGUUCUCAGGUGCUCAUAUCGCAUGAGGAAACUCAUGGACAGUGCAUAGUCGUACUUUUAACAGCAGCAGAGGCGUAG
Long non-coding RNA from Dermacentor silvarum, 1401 nucleotides. RefSeq lists it as uncharacterized. The transcript has 3 exons. Lineage: Eukaryota; Metazoa; Arthropoda; Arachnida; Ixodida; Ixodidae. The record is from RefSeq and is a predicted model, not a curated record.